This 2891-nucleotide ribosomal RNA is filed under the name Klebsiella michiganensis. RNAcentral describes it as "23S ribosomal RNA". It matches the Rfam family "Bacterial large subunit ribosomal RNA". The record is from RNAcentral. Lineage: Bacteria; Pseudomonadati; Pseudomonadota; Gammaproteobacteria; Enterobacterales; Enterobacteriaceae.
GGUUAAGCGACUAAGCGUACACGGUGGAUGCCCUGGCAGUCAGAGGCGAUGAAGGACGUGCUAAUCUGCGAAAAGCGUCGGUAAGGUGAUAUGAACCGUUAUAGCCGGCGAUGUCCGAAUGGGGAAACCCAGUGCAAUUCGUUGCACUAUCGUUAACUGAAUACAUAGGUUAACGAGGCGAACCGGGGAACUGAAACAUCUAAGUACCCCGAGGAAAAGAAAUCAACCGAGAUUCCCCAGUAGCGGCGAGCGAACGGGGAGCAGCCCGGAGUCUGAAUCAGCUUGUGUGUUAGUGGAAGCGUCUGGAAAGUCGCAGGGUACAGGGUGAUACUCCCGUACACUAAAGCACACAGGUUGUGAACUCGAAGAGUAGGGCGGGACACGUGGUAUCCUGUCUGAAUAUGGGGGGACCAUCCUCCAAGGCUAAAUACUCCUGACUGACCGAUAGUGAACCAGUACCGUGAGGAAAGGCGAAAAGAACCCCGGCGAGGGGAGUGAAAAAGAACCUGAAACCGUGUACGUACAAGCAGUAGGAGCCCACUUGUUGGGUGACUGCGUACCUUUUGUAUAAUGGGUCAGCGACUUAUAUUCUGUAGCAAGGUUAACCGUAUAGGGGAGCCGCAGGGAAACCGAGUCUUAACUGGGCGUUAAGUUGCAGGGUAUAGACCCGAAACCCGGUGAUCUAGCCAUGGGCAGGUUGAAGGUUGGGUAACACUAACUGGAGGACCGAACCGACUAAUGUUGAAAAAUUAGCGGAUGACUUGUGGGGGGGUGAAAGGCCAAUCAAACCGGGAGAUAGCUGGUUCUCCCCGAAAGCUAUUUAGGUAGCGCCUCGUGAAUUCAUCUUCGGGGUAGAGCACUGUUUCGGCUAGGGGUCAUCCCGACUUACCAACCCGAUGCAAACUACGAAUACCGAAGAAUGUUAUCACGGGAGACACACGGCGGGUGCUAACGUCCGUCGUGAAGAGGGAAACAACCCAGACCGCCAGCUAAGGUCCCAAAGUCAUGGUUAAGUGGGAAACGAUGUGGGAAGGCCAGACAGCCAGGAUGUUGGCUUAGAAGCAGCCAUCAUUUAAAGAAAGCGUAAUAGCUCACUGGUCGAGUCGGCCUGCGCGGAAGAUGUAACGGGCUAAACCAUGCACCGAAGCUGCGGCAGCGACACUAUGUGUUGUUGGGUAGGGGAGCGUUCUGUAAGCCGUUGAAGGUGGCCUGUGAGGGUUGCUGGAGGUAUCAGAAGUGCGAAUGCUGACAUAAGUAACGAUAAUGCGGGUGAAAAACCCGCACGCCGGAAGACCAAGGGUUCCUGUCCAACGUUAAUCGGGGCAGGGUGAGUCGACCCCUAAGGCGAGGCCGAAAGGCGUAGUCGAUGGGAAACAGGUUAAUAUUCCUGUACUCGGUGUUACUGCGAAGGGGACGGAGAAGGCUAUGUUGGCCGGCGACGGUUGUCCCGGUUUAAGCAUGUAGGCGGAUGUUCCAGGUAAAUCCGGAACGUCACUAACGCUGAGGUGUGAUGACGAGGCACUACGGUGCUGAAGUGACAAAUGCCCUGCUUCCAGGAAAAGCCUCUAAGCAUCAGGUAACAUCAAAUCGUACCCCAAACCGACACAGGUGGUCAGGUAGAGAAUACCAAGGCGCUUGAGAGAACUCGGGUGAAGGAACUAGGCAAAAUGGUGCCGUAACUUCGGGAGAAGGCACGCUGAUGGUAGGUGAAGUGACUUGCUCAUGGAGCUGAAAUCAGUCGAAGAUACCAGCUGGCUGCAACUGUUUAUUAAAAACACAGCACUGUGCAAACACGAAAGUGGACGUAUACGGUGUGACGCCUGCCCGGUGCCGGAAGGUUAAUUGAUGGGUUAUCCUCGCGGAGAAGCUCUUGAUCGAAGCCCCGGUAAACGGCGGCCGUAACUAUAACGGUCCUAAGGUAGCGAAAUUCCUUGUCGGGUAAGUUCCGACCUGCACGAAUGGCGUAAUGAUGGCCAGGCUGUCUCCACCCGAGACUCAGUGAAAUUGAACUCGCUGUGAAGAUGCAGUGUACCCGCGGCAAGACGGAAAGACCCCGUGAACCUUUACUAUAGCUUGACACUGAACACUGGUCCUUGAUGUGUAGGAUAGGUGGGAGGCUUUGAAGUGUGGACGCCAGUCUGCAUGGAGCCAUCCUUGAAAUACCACCCUUUAAUGGCUGGUGUUCUAACGUGGGCCCGUGAUCCGGGUUGCGGACAGUGUCUGGUGGGUAGUUUGACUGGGGCGGUCUCCUCCUAAAGAGUAACGGAGGAGCACGAAGGUCAGCUAAUCCUGGUCGGACAUCAGGAGGUUAGUGCAAUGGCAUAAGCUGGCUUGACUGCGAGCGUGACGGCGCGAGCAGGUGCGAAAGCAGGUCAUAGUGAUCCGGUGGUUCUGAAUGGAAGGGCCAUCGCUCAACGGAUAAAAGGUACUCCGGGAUAACAGGCUGAUACCGCCAAGAGUUCAUAUCGACGGCGGUGUUUGGCACCUCGAUGUCGGCUCAUCACAUCCUGGGGCUGAAGUAGGUCCCAAGGGUAUGGCUGUUCGCCAUUUAAAGUGGUACGCGAGCUGGGUUUAGAACGUCGUGAGACAGUUCGGUCCCUAUCUGCCGUGGGCGCUGGAGAAUUGAGGGGGGCUGCUCCUAGUACGAGAGGACCGGAGUGGACGCAUCACUGGUGUUCGGGUUGUCAUGCCAAUGGCAUUGCCCGGUAGCUAAAUGCGGAAGAGAUAAGUGCUGAAAGCAUCUAAGCACGAAACUUGCCCCGAGAUGAGUUCUCCCUGACUCCUUGAGAGUCCUGAAGGAACGUUGAAGACGACGACGUUGAUAGGCCGGGUGUGUAAGCGCAGCGAUGCGUUGAGCUAACCGGUACUAAUGAACCGUGAGGCUUAACCUU